RNAcentral lists this ribosomal RNA (482 nucleotides) under uncultured bacterium. RNAcentral's name for it is "partial 16S ribosomal RNA". It matches the Rfam family "Bacterial small subunit ribosomal RNA", at positions 30 to 507 of the family's 1533-position model. The record is from RNAcentral.
AUUGAACGCUGGCGGCAUGCUCUACACAUGCAAGUCGAACGGUAACAGGCCGCAAGGUGCUGACGAGUGGCGAACGGGUGAGUAAUGCAUCGGAACGUGCCCAGUCGUGGGGGAUAACUACUCGAAAGAGUAGCUAAUACCGCAUACGAUCUAUGGAUGAAGGCGGGGGACCGUAAGGCCUCGCGCGAUUGGAGCGGCCGAUGUCAGAUUAGGUAGUUGGUGGGGUAAAGGCUCACCAAGCCAACGAUCUGUAGCUGGUCUGAGAGGACGACCAGCCACACUGGGACUGAGACACGGCCCAGACUCCUACGGGAGGCAGCAGUGGGGAAUUUUGGACAAUGGGCGCAAGCCUGAUCCAGCAAUGCCGCGUGCAGGAAGAAGGCCUUCGGGUUGUAAACUGCUUUUGUACGGAACGAAACGGCUCUGGUUAAUACCCGGGGCUAAUGACGGUACCGUAAGAAUAAGCACCGGCUAACUACGUG